UACAGAGGUCCCAAGCGUUGUUCGGAUUCAUUGGGCGUAAAGGGUGCGUAGGCGGCGCGGUGAGUCGGGUGUGAAAUCUCGGGGCUUAACUCCGAAACUGCAUUCGAUACUGCCGUGCUUGAGGACUGGAGAGGAGACUGGAAUUUACGGUGUAGCGGUGAAAUGCGUAGAUAUCGUAAGGAAGACCAGUGGCGAAGGCGGGUCUCUGGACAGUUCCUGACGCUGAGGCACGAAGGCCAGGGGAGCAAACGGG
This 253-nucleotide ribosomal RNA is filed under the name uncultured bacterium. RNAcentral's name for it is "partial 16S ribosomal RNA". It matches the Rfam family "Bacterial small subunit ribosomal RNA", at positions 524 to 776 of the family's 1533-position model. The record is from RNAcentral.